CUGGAUCCCGGGUGGACGACGGGAGAGGGCUGCGGCCCAGAACCCUGAAGCCCAGAGGUCUCGGGACGGGGAUACCGGUGACGUCGGGAGGCACCAACGGGUGUUCGGACGUGCGUUUCCCUCCCCGUAAUCACACCGUUGCGCUCAUCCGUCCAUCCUCGGCGCGCUAGCCAUCUUGGUAAAACUAAGGAGACUCAACGGGUGACCUAACCUGUGGGAGACCCUGGAAGCAGCACAGAGGAAAAGAUUCAGAAACUAAGGAUAAAGAUGCAGGAAGAUCGCGAUGGAGAGGAAUGAAAUUGAGGAGCUCUAAUGGAUGGUAUUUCUCUUCUUAGGAAGGAUCACCAGGACCAGUGUCGGCAUUGUCCUGGACAUAUUCUACUUGUUCAAAACUUCUCUGAAGACCUUUCCCUUGUGUUCCCCUUAGAGAAGACUCUCACGAAGAUUACCAAAAUCCUGUUCUUUGGGAUUUUAAUUGACCAAUCCAGCCUUAGUCUGGGAACCCCAAAGCACUCCACCUGCAGACUCUAAUCAAGGAAUGUGCCCAGGUCCUGCUGUGCUCUUUCUGCCUGCACCCUGCCUUGACCUGCCUGCGUGGCCCUUUGUGGCAUGCUGUGUACCUACUCCAGGACCUGGAGGCAGUGCCCUUAUCCGGCUGGAGAUGUUUCCCAUUGAGCCUGGAGAUUUAAUCUGCAGAUUUGCACCAGCGGUGACACAACCUCCUCAAGGGCACUUGCGAAACACGUUUCUGGGUCCUGUGCAAAGUGAGGCAAGCGGAUUCCUGAAAAUGACAGCGCAGUCCAACCACAGCUCAAGUCAAAAGCCAUGAGCACAUCAUGAAAAACAAACCCAUCACUGAACAAAUAUAUGAUAUGUUUACAUUGCAACUAAAUAUUUCACAGUGAGAAACAAGUCUUUUCUGUAAAAA
RNAcentral lists this long non-coding RNA (928 nucleotides) under Equus asinus (donkey). Its description in RNAcentral is "lncRNA (ENSEASG00005033011.1)". The record is from RNAcentral. Lineage: Eukaryota; Metazoa; Chordata; Mammalia; Perissodactyla; Equidae.